CCCUUAGAUGUUCUGGGCCGCACGCGCGCUACACUGACGAAUGCAACGAGCUUAUAACCUUGGCCGAAAGGUCUGGGUAAUCUCCAAAUUUCGUCGUGAUGGGGAUAGAUUAUUGCAAUUAUUAAUCUUCAACGAGGAAUGCCUAGUAAGCGCAAGUCAUCAGCUUGCGUUGAUUACGUCCCUGCCCUUUGUACACACCGCCCGUCGCUCCUACCGAUUGAAUGGUCCGGUGAAGCGCUCGGACCGCGGCCUCUUGACGGCUUUCCGUCGAUUGGCUGUGGGAAGUUCGUUAAACCUUAUCAUUUAGAGGAAGGAGAAGUCGUAACA
RNAcentral lists this ribosomal RNA (327 nucleotides) under uncultured eukaryote. RNAcentral's name for it is "partial 18S ribosomal RNA". It matches the Rfam family "Eukaryotic small subunit ribosomal RNA", at positions 1470 to 1796 of the family's 1831-position model. The record is from RNAcentral.